UCAAAAAAUAAUUUUUAAUUAACAAAAGAUAAAUAGAGUUAAGCCCAGCAACAAAAUUAAGCCCAGCAGUUACAUUGGGCUUCGCAGGAGGGGGUGUAGGCUGAAUUUGUGGAUGGUUGAGAGAUUCACAUGGGCCUCACAGUAGAGGCCCGUCACUUUGUCCAGGACAUGCUGUUGGGGGUGUGAUCUGCCGAAUGGAAGUAUGGGGAGGUGAACGCUUGCCCAAGCUCCAAAUGUUCACAUUUUCCAAAACCGGGUCAUGAACCAGAACUCUACACUCACAAGCUUUGUCCCCAAAUUACUAGCUAGGUCGAACAUAAUCAGUAUGCCUUCCAUCCAGAACAAGAAUUUCGCGCAAUACGUACGAGCAUCACGGCCAUAAAUUCAAACGAAAAGCUCGAAACGAGACUCACCUUGAUGUCCGGUAUUCUUCUGUUCGCGGUUGAUCGAGACGAAGAUGAAGUCGUCGGAUUCAGAUUCGUGUGCUUCUUUAUGUGUUUCGUUGAUUGAGACGAUGAUGGAGAAGUCGCGUCGGAGUGUGUUGUGAAGAGGAUUGAAGGCGGCGACGAGGUUUGAAGGUGGCGACGAGGAUUGAAGGUGGAAUUGUAAUGCGAAGAUGAAGGUUUCUCUGAAAUUAGUGAGCUCCUUUCGUUCCAAUCUUCUUCGAUUCUCUCACACCUGCUUCUCCUUGGAUCUUGGUUUCGCUUCUGGAUGCGGAUGGUUUACGUUCUUUGCAUGUUUCUUCUGGCCGAUGGGUUUUGCAGGGCUCGAAGACUUGAGAGAAGGAGAAGGUUUGAAGGUUCUGUUAUGGUGGUUAUAGGAUUUUGCAGAGUGAUGAUAAAGGAUUUCAAUUGAUAUGAGGGAUUCACCGAAUGAUCAAGAGAAUCGAAUUAAUGCCAAGGUUGGAAGUUUGCGAACGGCCAUUAGAUUAAGGUGACCGGCCAACGCAGGUAUCCUCUCAAAUUGCCGAUUUUGGUAGUUGAUUAGUAGAGUUAAAGUUGUGAUAGUUGUUAGAAGUUGGCUCAGGUUAAUUGUUAGCUUGUUUGAUGCACAUGGAUGAAUUUGGUAUGUCAUGGCCAUGAAUGUAGAUGCUUUGAGUGGCGGGUCUGUUAUGCUUGGUAUGCCGGCCAUGUGAAUUACAAGGCUAACGUAUGCUUUGUUUAGUAAUGCAGAAACUUGGUACGUUAUGAUGUUUUAUUAUUGCUGACUAUUACAGAUUGCCAGGUUGGUAUGUGAAUGGAUUUUAUGCCGAUGAAUGAUUGUGUAUUGCCAUGAGUUGUCUUAUGUAUGUGAAAUAUAACCAUGGGUCUAACUUUGAAUGAUUUUGCAGUGCAUGAUUAUGAUGCCGUUAUGAUGACAAGCUACAAGUUUUUGUUUUAUUGGAUUUGUCAAUUGCUGGAUUAUAGUUAUGAUGCAGUUGAAUGGUUAACUAAGGAUACACAUGAGGUUGAUAUAUUAGCAUUGUUAGAACUAUACAAAAGCCAAUUAAAACUAUGCUAAUCUAAGUCACUUGGAUUGAAUGCUAAAACUUGGUUAUAAUGCUAUGCUAGUUACUUUAGUUAUGAGUCUUAUGCCAUGUUGGUGCGAACUUGUUUAGCUUUAGAAUUGAUGUAUGCAUACCAUUGUGAUGAUGAUAGAUGGGAAGAUGUUUUGCAUUUCAACAUUUGGUGUAUGGUAUGGUAUGACAUGCUAAAUUGAACUAGAUUAUGAAUGAGUUCAUGGUGUGUUUGAGAUAACAUGUAUGGUUAAUGCUAUCUUGCUUGGUUUAUUGGCACGGUUAAUGUAACUUGGUGAUAAUGCCAACAAUUUGGUUUGCUUUUUGUAGGAUGUGCGAACACGAAAUGAUGGAAAUCAAGGUGUAGCUUCUAUUUGAAGAAAAUGGUGAAAGUUUGGAUCAUUGUGUCAUGGAGUUAGAUGUAUUUGGACUUGUCAUAUUUUCUUUUUUUGUUAUAAAUUAGUAGUUUGGAGUUGACAUGUUGUAAUGGUUGGAAACUUGUAGCUUGAAAUGUAUGGUUGUAGUUAUGUAACUUGAAAAAUUGAAUGCAUGGUAUUCACGGUUGUAAUAAUAUGAGAAAAUUGUAUGGAAA
This is a long non-coding RNA of Lathyrus oleraceus (garden pea), 2087 nucleotides long. RefSeq lists it as uncharacterized. The record is from RefSeq and is a predicted model, not a curated record. The transcript is spliced from 2 exons. NCBI's taxonomy places the organism in Eukaryota, Viridiplantae, Streptophyta, Magnoliopsida, Fabales, Fabaceae.